Molecule: ribosomal RNA, 440 nt
Filed under: uncultured bacterium
Lineage: Bacteria
Description: partial 16S ribosomal RNA
Rfam family: Bacterial small subunit ribosomal RNA
Source: RNAcentral
CCUACGGGAGGCAGCAGUGGGGGAUAUUGCACAAUGGGGGGAACCCUGAUGCAGCGACGCCGCGUGGGUGAAGAAGCGCCUCGGCGCGUAAAGCCCUGUCAGCAGGGAAGAAAAUGACGGUACCUGAAGAAGAAGCCCCGGCUAACUACGUGCCAGCAGCCGCGGUAAUACGUAGGGGGCAAGCGUUAUCCGGAUUUACUGGGUGUAAAGGGGGCGCAGACGGCGAUGCAAGCCAGGAGUGAAAGCCCGGGGCCCAACCCCGGGACUGCUCUUGGAACUGCGUGGCUGGAGUUGGAGAGAAGUACGCGGAAUGCGCGGUGUAGCGGUGAAAUGCUUAGAUAUCGCGCAGAACCCCGAUUGCGAAGGCAGCGUACCGGCUCCACACUGACGCUGAGGCACGAAAGCGUGGGUAUCGAACAGGAUUAGAUACCCCAGUAGUC